AACGAACGCUGGCGGCAUGCCUAACACAUGCAAGUCGAACGAGACCUUCGGGUCUAGUGGCGCACGGGUGCGUAACGCGUGGGAAUCUGCCCUUGGGUUCGGAAUAACAGCGAGAAAUUGCUGCUAAUACCGGAUGAUGACGUAAGUCCAAAGAUUUAUCGCCCAAGGAUGAGCCCGCGUAGGAUUAGCUAGUUGGUGAGGUAAAGGCUCACCAAGGCGACGAUCCUUAGCUGGUCUGAGAGGAUGAUCAGCCACACUGGGACUGAGACACCGGCCAGACUCC
Molecule: ribosomal RNA, 283 nt
Filed under: uncultured bacterium
Lineage: Bacteria
Description: partial 16S ribosomal RNA
Rfam family: Bacterial small subunit ribosomal RNA
Source: RNAcentral